UACAGAGGGUGCGAGCGUUAAUCGGAAUUACUGGGCGUAAAGCGUGCGUAGACGGUUAUUUAGGUCGGGUGUGAAAGCCCCGGGCUCAACCUGGGAAUUGCAUUCGAGACUGAAUAGCUAGGGUACGGUAGAGGGAAGCGGAAUUUCCGGUGUAGCGGUGAAAUGCGUAGAUAUCGGGAGGAACACCAGUGGCGAAGGCGGCGAUCUGGGAAGAUACUGACGCUGAGGUGCGAAAGCGUGGGGAGCAAACAGG
Molecule: ribosomal RNA, 253 nt
Filed under: uncultured bacterium
Lineage: Bacteria
Description: partial 16S ribosomal RNA
Rfam family: Bacterial small subunit ribosomal RNA
Source: RNAcentral